GCACUGUUGAGAAGUCCCACAAUAGGACGAAACGGCCGUCCAGUGC
This is a non-coding RNA of Schistosoma mansoni, 46 nucleotides long. Lineage: Eukaryota; Metazoa; Platyhelminthes; Trematoda; Strigeidida; Schistosomatidae. The record is from Rfam.